GCCAGUGUGGUGUAGUGGUUUCAGUGUUGGACUAUGACUCUAGAGACUAGGUUUGAAUCCCAGCUUGGCCA
Molecule: non-coding RNA, 71 nt
Organism: Phrynosoma platyrhinos (Desert horned lizard)
Lineage: Eukaryota; Metazoa; Chordata; Lepidosauria; Squamata; Phrynosomatidae
Source: the annotation of a GenBank genome assembly